UACAGGGGGUGCAAGCGUUAUUCGGAAUUAUUGGGCGUAAAGAGCGUGUAGGUGGUUCGGUAAGUUUGAUGUGAAAUCCCUGGGCUCAAUCCAGGAAGUGCAUUGAAUACUGCUAAACUAGAGUGCAGGAGAGGAAAGCGGAAUUCCAGGUGUAGAGGUGAAAUUCGUAGAUAUCUGGAGGAACAACAGAGGCGAAGGCGGCUUUCUGGACUGCAACUGACACUGAGACGCGAAAGCGUGGGGAGCAAACAGG
RNAcentral lists this ribosomal RNA (253 nucleotides) under uncultured bacterium. RNAcentral's name for it is "partial 16S ribosomal RNA". It matches the Rfam family "Bacterial small subunit ribosomal RNA", at positions 524 to 776 of the family's 1533-position model. The record is from RNAcentral.